UACGUAGGGUGCAAGCGUUGUCCGGAAUCACUGGGCGUAAAGCGCACGUAGGCGGACUCUUAAGUCGGUGGUGAAAUCCUGGAGCUCAACUCCAGAACUGCCUUCGAUACUGAGAGUCUCGAGUCCGAGAGAGGUGAGUGGAACUGCGAGUGUAGAGGUGAAAUUCGUAGAUAUUCGCAAGAACACCAGUGGCGAAGGCGGCUCACUGGCUCGGUACUGACGCUGAGGUGCGAAAGCGUGGGGAGCAAACAGG
This 253-nucleotide ribosomal RNA is filed under the name uncultured bacterium. RNAcentral's name for it is "partial 16S ribosomal RNA". It matches the Rfam family "Bacterial small subunit ribosomal RNA", at positions 524 to 776 of the family's 1533-position model. The record is from RNAcentral.